UGGGGGAUAUUGCACAAUGGACGAAAGCCUGAUGCAGCGACGCCGCGUGGGGGAUGAAGGCCUUCGGGUUGUAAACUUCUUUUGCUCUGAACAAGGCGCACCAUGGGGUGUGUUGAGUGUAGGGGUUGAUUAGCGCCGGCUAACUACGUGCCAGCAGCCGCGGUAAUACGUAGGGCGCGAGCGUUGUCCGGAAUUAUUGGGCGUAAAGGGCUUGUAGGUGGCUGGUUGCGUCUGUCGUGAAAGCUCAUGGCUUAACUGUGGGUUUGCGGUGGGUACGGGCUGGCUUGAGUGCAGUAGGGGAGGCUGGAAUUCCUGGUGUAGCGGUGGAAUGCGCAGAUAUCAGGAGGAAUACCGGUGGCGAAGGCGGGUCUCUGGGCUGUUACUGACACUGAGGAGCGAAAGCAUGGGGAGCGAACAGG
RNAcentral lists this ribosomal RNA (419 nucleotides) under bacterium. RNAcentral describes it as "partial 16S ribosomal RNA". It matches the Rfam family "Bacterial small subunit ribosomal RNA", at positions 355 to 776 of the family's 1533-position model. The record is from RNAcentral.